UGUUCGUUGUUUUGAUUUAGUUCCUCCGAACUUUCCACACUGACUGGGUUUGAUUAGUCGUUGUGCUGUGUGUAGUUUGUGGUCAGUUAUAAGUCGGGGUGAAUAAGUCUGAGCAGAGAUGGCAGGUUACCACACAGCGCGGGUAGAAGAGGAUGAGGAAGAUGAAGAUGAAGGCGGACCGGUGUUGUAUAUAGCGGGGCUGCAGGAGCGCAGGAGGCGCAGGGAGCAGAUUGAUCAGAUCCAGCGUUUCCUCAGUGCAGCUGCGGAGAGAGAAGCUGAUCUGCUCUCGCUGCUCCACUGGCUCUCUGAAACCGAAGAAUCACUGCAGGACUGUGUCAGUAAGAAACAGGCCUGUAAGGAGUGGGCUGAGGACAUGGAGGAAAACAUGGAGGAAAAGUUGGACAAACUAUUAGUUGAUGUUAACUGUGCCAUCAACAGACUGUGUACAAUCUGUCAAUAUCUAUUUGAUAUUGAAAGUAAAAAAAGAAAAAUACAGACAGCUCAGAAGACUGGGGUUUUGCGAUGUUUGAAGGAGCAAAAAGUAGAUCCAAAGAUGAUGAAACGCAUUCAGAAACUGCAACCACCAACAGCAGACAAAUUUCUGGCUGAUGCAAGCCUUGCUAGCAAGUCCUCAACAGAGUUAACCUUAAUGCUGAAUGACAUCGCUAAAAGCAUGUCCAGUAAUAAAGCAACAGACAUGGCCUUUAGGUAUUUUCAAAUGGGUCUACAAAACCUGAAUCAAGCAUUUCAGGAGCGCACAACAGAAGUAAAGUCUCUACAGGUCCAAAUAGAGGAAAUGAAGAGAAACGAUUGUCAAUUUGAGAUGGCACAGCUAAAGAUGGAAAUAACCGAUAGCAACAUGAGGAUCUCUGAACUACAAAAGGAACUUGUUCAGAUAAAGGAGCAUAAUGCAGCACUUAUGUUACAGAAUGAAGCCAUAACUGUCCCAUACCAAAAGGAGGAAGAAAAAUAUAAGUUAGCUAAAGGCCGGUUGAAAUUGAAGUUUCCCAAACAAAAGAAGAAAGUGCAGGAGCAGCAAAACAUUGAACAUUCAUUCAUUCAUUCAUUGUCUGUUUUAAAACCAUGUUAUCCUGAUGAGGAUCAAGAUGGGUCUAAUUCAUUGGGCGAAAGGCAGGAAACACUCCAGACGGGUGACCAGUCCAUCUCAGGGCAAAACAUUGAUGUACAGCAUUACAGACAAGAGCAAUCUGCACAAAAAGAAGAACCAAUUGAUUUUGCUGAGGAGUCACCACAUCAUAGUGUGAUUCCAAUGAGUUUAAAAAUCUCGGAAGAACCGGUACCAAGAAAAAGCUCUGAUCCUGCACAGACUUUUAAGGGACCACUACUGGAUCUUACUAACAUACAUAUGGAGAUGUUACCAGAGAAUAAGGAUCAGCUGACAGAGUUGGUAUCUGAUGUUUACAUGGAAUUGCCUUCUGAUGAAAAACCUGAAUCUGAAUUAUUGCAGAGUGUAAAACAUUCACCCAGUGAUAUGCUAAGUAUUGUUAAUGAAGAGAUUGAAAAAUAUGAGCUAGCUGUGAGAGAUGCUGGGCACCAACUGCAGGCAGUGUCUACAGAAGAUGCAGAAUCAGACAGCUGGCAAAACUCGCUCGCCAUUUUGCUAAACCAGUUCAAAAACAUAAAUGAGAUAGGCAAAAAACAAGUCUGGAAUAUGCAGCUGGUCCUUAAGCUUCUGCAGGAGAUUCACUCAAACAUGACCCAAAAGGACAAACCACUAGCCCAGGAAGAACUUAUUUCUCAGGAUCCAUUUCCAGUUCCCAUUCCAUUUUGUGGGCACUCUCCUGUACUUUCCCCUUCUAUGAUGAUGUAUCCAAACAAGGAGAUUCUAAAAGUGGUUAGGGAACAAAUGCAGCCUAAUGGAGCAAUCAAGAUCCACAAACCAGAACAGAUUGUUAAUACCAAGCCAGCUGAAUCAGUGGUAAUAAUGGACUGUGUGGAGCGCUAUGUAAAAGAUAUUAAAGUGGAAGGAGAGAGAUUGCUCCAGACCAAAAUGAAAGGACGUACGCAUGUCAUCAAUGUGAAAUGCCAGAGAACAAACCUCAGGCUUCUUAACCAGGCUUAUGUCAACAGGAACAUUUCUCCUAGACUCUUCUAUCUGGCAAGGGAUGUUGUUCUUGAUACUCUUGCCAGCGUGAAUAUGCGGAUUGCCUGCCUCUUUCAAAGAUACAUAACACACAUUGCUCUACAGCAACUCAGAAAAACUCUGGAUGCCCAGUUACAGCAAGCCAGAGAACUGAACAGUGGAAAAGCUGUUAAAGACCUGCACUUCUUUCUGCAAAGACUAAGUGAGUUUCAACACAAAGUGAUUAGUAAAUGGACUGACAAGCAAAUUUCCAUUGACCAGAGGCGCCUAAAAUGCAUGGCCCAGAUGACUUACCUUUUUCAUCAGAUGAAAGUGGAUUAUAGGUUACAGCUGGCACCUCCAUAUACAUGCCAGCGUGGCCUAUCACAGCCGUUGCUGUCUGUUACUCCCUGGAAAAUGCACUGGUCUCUAAACCUUGAUCUUAUGCAGAACCUGCAGCCUGUGUCAGGAGGACCCUGUCAUGCUCCUCCCAAUUCACCAUCACUUCAUCCACAUUGUUGUAAUACAUCCAGCUAUUUUUCUUCGGAUGUGCAUUCGAAUAGCUUUUACAACUGAUUACGGGAACUGUUUUGAUCACAAAAACACGGCUGAUUUAUUUCUACAGACAAGGCAAACGUUGCUACCCUUUUAUGUUUUAUGUAUAAAAUUGUGGAAAGGAAAUUGACAUUAAAUGAAAAAGUGGCUUAGUGACAGGUAACCUUUGGCAAGCAAAAGACACAAAGAACUCCAUGUGGCUUGCUAGUCAGGUACCUGUAGAUU
This is an RNA transcript of Trichomycterus rosablanca, 2863 nucleotides long. RefSeq lists it as uncharacterized. The record is from RefSeq and is a predicted model, not a curated record. The transcript has 7 exons. Lineage: Eukaryota; Metazoa; Chordata; Actinopteri; Siluriformes; Trichomycteridae.